RNAcentral lists this long non-coding RNA (808 nucleotides) under Vigna radiata. RNAcentral describes it as "long non-coding RNA (VRAD_LNC010057)". Lineage: Eukaryota; Viridiplantae; Streptophyta; Magnoliopsida; Fabales; Fabaceae. The record is from RNAcentral.
GCCGCAGCUGGCAACGAAGGCACCUCCCUCUGCCGCACCUCGGAACCCACUUUCUCUCUGUCGCACCUCGAAAACAACCGCAACUCAAUCACCCUCUGCCGCAGCUCGCAAUGCACCCCCUCCUCUGCCGCAGCUCGUGUGUCGCUUCUCCAACUACGGCUAACCACAGCCGCAUCUCCCACAUGCGGUUACUCAAAGUCGCACCUCCCAGGUGCGGCACCCCUCAACCGCGACUCUGAGUUGCGGCACUUCUAAACCGCGCUUCCAAAUGCGUUUCUACGCACCUCCCUCUGAACCCAUUAAAUAUCCAACCCCAACCCCAACCCUCAGUGUUCCUCUCAACAACAGAUUUAGCAUAAUACAGAUCUAGCAUAAUACACUUAAAGAAAAAACAUAUGUAAGUAACCUGGAUGCGUGCUGGAGAUGUCCUCGAUCUCACUACCACCAGGAACGACGAACAGGAGAAACGAAAGUCUUCUUCUUCUGUGUGCAAGGUAAAGGAAAGAAGGGAGUUCUUCUGUUAGAAAGGUAAAGAUAAAGGAAAGAAGGGGGUGUAGAGAUGGAAGACUCAGUCUUCUGACAUGGAUGGGAAAGAAGCAUGGAAAUGGAGCAGCUUUUUAGAAAAUCAAAAUAUUCUGUUAUGGGUAAAAUUGAAAAUAAAGAAAGAAUGGGAGGUGCAGGACGAGGUGAGUGAGGUGUAUGGAGGAAUACUCUUUAAUUUAUUUCAAAAAUAUUUUACAUCUCCCCACUAUUUUCUUUUAUUCCAAAAAUACCCUACACCUACCCACUAUCCUUAGCAAUCUUUCUC